RNAcentral lists this ribosomal RNA (364 nucleotides) under Liothyrella uva. Its description in RNAcentral is "partial 12S small subunit ribosomal RNA". The record is from RNAcentral. Lineage: Eukaryota; Metazoa; Brachiopoda; Rhynchonellata; Terebratulida; Terebratulidae.
CCCCACUAUUCUGGCCCUAAAACUUAAACACUUCUGGGACUACGAAAGACCUUUAAACCCAAAGAACUUGGCGGCAUUUCAUACCCAAUCAGGGGAGCCUGUCCUAGAACUGAUACCCCACAACUAACCUCACUUGCCCUCGCUCUCAGCCUGUAUACCGCCGUCGAUAGCCCACCUACAAAAGAAAUAGUAUGCCCCAAGGGUAAAACCCCGCACGUCAGGUCAAGGUGCAGCCAAUGAGCAAGAAGAGAUGGGCUACCAGUAACAUGGNAAACCAAACCUGCCAAGUGAAAAAAGAGCGAAAGAAGGACUUGUAAAGUAACAGGGGCCCAAGUACCCCUGUGAAUCCGGCAAUAAAAUGUGC